Python bivittatus (Burmese python) is the source of this 1513-nucleotide non-coding RNA. The record is from RefSeq and is a predicted model, not a curated record. NCBI's taxonomy places the organism in Eukaryota, Metazoa, Chordata, Lepidosauria, Squamata, Pythonidae.
UUGAAAAUUCGAUAAAACGGCGACGGAGUUGGAACGCAAGGACGCGUCGGCCCCGCUUAAUGAUUUCAUUCUGACGCUCGACGCGACCGGAAGUGGAAGCGUUUCACGCCGAGCUGCCCUAGGCCCGGGUCUGCCUUUCCUCUUCCGGGUCAGAGGUGGUCGCCAUGGCGGUGCUAGCUUCCAACCCCAACAACCCCGUGGUGUUCUUCGAUGUCACCAUCGGCGGCCAGGAGGUCGGCCGCAUGAAGGUGGAGCUCUUCGCCGACGUGGUGCCCAAGACCGCGGAGAACUUCAGGCAGUUCUGCACGGGCGAAUUCAGGAAAGAUGGCGUUCCUAUCGGGUACAAAGGCAGCACCUUCCACAGGGUUAUAAAGGAUUUCAUGAUCCAAGGAGGUGAUUUUGUAAACGGAGAUGGUACUGGAGUGGCCAGCAUCUAUCGGGGGCCCUUUGCCGAUGAGAACUUUAAACUGAAACACUCUGCGCCUGGCUUGCUCUCCAUGGCCAACAGUGGUCCCAGCACCAACGGCUGCCAGUUCUUCAUCACGUGCUCCAAGUGCGACUGGCUUGAUGGGAAGCAUGUGGUUUUUGGUAAAAUAAUCGACGGACUGCUAGUCAUGAGAAAAAUCGAACCUGAGGCUAGGAUUAAAAUCGUGCCGAGUCAGCUUAGAAGGGGCAGCCGCAGGUGGCAGAGAACCACUGGCGAUUCCCACGUCUCUGUCCCCAAGAGGCAUAACCUCUCAGUCUUUCUGCUUGUUCCUGGUCCUGCUGUGUAACCCAGCCAGAGAAAGUGAGAGAACCCAAAUGGAAGUGACGAUUGCGCAGCAAGGCUGCGAGAGAUCAUCUUUACCCUGGCCGCAGGCUCAGUCCAAGCCCUAGCCAAUGCCUUGGGUUUGGGGGUCUCCACCGAAGAAUCGUCUUCCCAUCGUUCUCAGACGAAACCUUACUGGGUCUCCAAAGAUCUCUGGUCUUCUCCAUGGUAACGUGCCCACCGGGCCGAAUAACAAGCCCAAGCUGCCAGUGGUGAUUGCCCAGUGUGGAGAGAUGUAGCCGGGGAGCCCCAGGUAGGUGCUGCUUCAGUUUGGGCAGCCAAAGCUGCUUUCUGGGAGGGGAGGGGAGAGGGAGAAGAGGGGCUCCAUGGGCAAGAAGGGAGGGGAGGGUCUCUGUGUCUGCUCGGCAGACGAGGGUGGGUGAAAACUGCAGGCACGCUUGGAGGAUGGGGAGGCCCUCUCAGAGCCAGGGAGCUGCUGAAAGACAGCUCAAGCACCGAAGCAUGCUCACAGAGCGAAGCGCGCAGGUGUCCUCCGUGUCCAGCUUGGCGCAGAGUCUCCCUCUCCGGAGGCCAGGAAACGGGGAUGGUGCUGCCCUGCCCUGCCCUGCCCUGGGACCCUCCUCAUCUGCAGCGCUGAGUGGGGUGAAGCCACCAAGGCAGGCCCUGCCCCAGAUGCUGCAAAAGUCCUCUUCGGACUUGGGAAAAUCCAGCGCUGGGACCAGGGUCUAACUGUCGGCCUCUUCC